GAUGAACGCUGGCGGCGUGCUUAACACAUGCAAGUCGAACGGUGAAAGAGAGCUUGCUCUCUGGCUCAGUGGCGAACGGGUGAGUAACACGUGAGCAAUCUGCCCCUGACUCUGGGAUAAGCGCUGGAAACGGCGUCUAAUACCGGAUACGAGCUGCGAAGGCAUCUUCAGCAGCUGGAAAGAACUUCGGUCAGGGAUGAGCUCGCGGCCUAUCAGCUAGUUGGUGAGGUACCGGCUCACCAAGGCGUCGACGGGUAGCCGGCCUGAGAGGGUGACCGGCCACACUGGGACUGAGACACGGCCCAGACUCCUACGGGAGGCAGCAGUGGGGAAUAUUGCACAAGGGGCGAAAGCCUGAUGCAGCAACGCCGCGUGAGGGACGACGGCCUUCGGGUUGUAAACCUCUUUUAGCAGGGAAGAAGCGAAAGUGACGGUACCUGCAGAAAAAGCACCGGCUAACUACGU
This 465-nucleotide ribosomal RNA is filed under the name uncultured bacterium. RNAcentral's name for it is "partial 16S ribosomal RNA". It matches the Rfam family "Bacterial small subunit ribosomal RNA", at positions 28 to 506 of the family's 1533-position model. The record is from RNAcentral.